GCAAGAAAUAAUAAAUAAAUAUGGAUCACUUUAGGGGUGAUUCAACCCUUUUACAAAGAUAAAGAGAAAAAUAAGAUAAAAUCUUACAUCCCAACCUAAACUAAUCUCUCAACAAAAGUUGUCGACUAACCCAAAACCUAAGAAUAUCACUUACACAAUAACCCACCCUUGGCAGCAGUCAGAGUAUACCAACACAUCAAAAUCCCAAAGAACAUAAAAUAAAAACAAACCAUCAAGCACAAAUCUCCAAGAAAUAGAAGAACUUAAAAGACUCCUCUUUACAACUAACACAACAACCAUGUAACUCACUACCUCAACAAAAAAACCAAAGAUAAUCUUUUUCACUUCACAAAAACUCCUCCUCAUAGUCACUUAAUCCAAGAACCAAGACAUAACCUCCAAACUAUGUUUAAGACAAUUCUGCAAAACACGCAACUUCCUUCUUACAAAGGAGUUAGAGAAGCAUACCAAAGAAAUAGAAACAAAUUUAAUUCAUAGUUUUCAUACAUACCAGAGGUUCUAAACACCAAUCAAAAUAAUAGAAUUCUGCAUCUUUUUCUUUACUAGUUAAGCAAGCCCAGGUUUUUCUUUGAACCAUUGUAAACACCUUUAUAUGGUCAACUCUCCCAUUAUUAAAAACACAUCUAUUUCUAUGUUUCUAGAUUUUACCUAUAAUUGCAAUCGACACCACUCCCAAGAUUUUGAGAGUCUAGCCAUAAACAUUCAGAGGGAAGAACAUCAUGAGGUGUAUCUUUGCAUCAUAGUGGUUCACUGACAAACAACCCAACCAAGACAAACACAAACCUCAAAUGUUCCAUACAAUUUUAUACUUAAAAAAUAAAUGACAAACAAUCUCCUCUUCCUCACCACACAACUCACACAAGGAACUUACCAUUAAGACUCCUCGUCUCAAAAGAUUAUCCUUUGUUGCUAUGCUAUUAUUCAACACCCUUCAAGAAGUGAUUUGUGCAAAGGGAAGAGCCUUUACUUUCCAAAACCUUUAUAAUAGAUCCCUAUCCUCACCUCCCACCACUAACUUUAAAGACUUAUAAGCUUAUUUCACUGAAAAACCAAACUGUUUAUCCAAAUCCAACUGUCUGUUACACUUUCUCCCUCCUCAUCAACCUUGUUAUUUUCUAUCAAAAGCAACAACUAAGUGACCUGAUUAUCUUCCCACACAAACAAAUUUCUCCUUCACCCCAACUUCCACUCCCACCUACCAUUGUUCCACUUGCCUGCAUGUAACAAAGUAUUACCAUGUUCUACAGCAACCAAAUAUAGUCUUGGAUAUUUAAACAUUAAUGCUUCAUUAUCAACCCACUUAUCCUCCUAAAUCCUGGUUUCCUUCCCAUCCCCAAUAGCCCAAUUGACUAUCUUCAAACUCACCCCCACCUAUCUGAAUUCCAUAUACUCUUCAAAUUUCUCCACCAAAGAGAAUCCUUAUUAUUUAUGACCGUACUUUUUAACCCCCUACACCCUCCGUACUUAGAUUCCAAGAUUUCUUUCCAUAAGCCAUUUCUGUCUAUUUUGAGAUGCCAGAUCCAUUUACAAAGUAACGCAAUAUUAAAUAAUCUGAGAUCUCUUACCCCAAGUCCACCAUCUUCACUAGUAGCACAUAACCUAUCCCAGGACACCCAGGCUACUUUUUGCCUUUUCGAGCCUCAACCCCACAAGAAUAUUUUCAUCAUUUUUUCCAGUUCCUUCGUGACCAACACAGACAUAUAAAAACAAGAGAUAUAGAAUAAGGGGAUGCAUGUAAAAACUAAUUUAAGCAAGCAGAUUCUCCCUGCCAUUGACAAAAAUUUUCUUUCCACUUCCCCAAUCUUUUCAAGCACCACUCAAAAACCCAAUCUCUUAUGAUUUCCUCCUACUUUCACACCCAGAUAAGUAAAAGGGGCUUUUUUGAUAACACAAUUAAGGACAUAUGCAAACCUUGAAAGUUGAAAAGAGCUAAUACCCUUCCUCAUACUUUACUUUUAGAAUAAUUCGCUUUAAGUCCAGAAGCAAGCUCAAAACACAUCAAAGUAGCCUUAACCGCCAACACACUUUGCAAAUUCGCUUUAUUGAAAAAUAACGUAUCAUCAGUAAAUUGCAACAUACUCACAUUGGUUUUCCUUUCACCAAUCUCAAUGCUAUCUAACAUUCCCUUCUCUUUUUCUUGUGUUACAACAUCUGUCAAACCCUCCGCCACAAUGAGAAAGAUAAAGGUAGUCAAAGGAUCACCUUGUCUCAAACCCUUCUCUGGGAUAAACUCAGUCGUUGGGUUGUCAUUCACCAAGACCGAAACCGAAGACAUUUCUAAGCAAUUUUUAAUCCAAUCAUUCCACUUUUUACAUAAACCUAACCUUCCAAACAUAUAAUAAACAAAAUCUCACCUCACUGAGUCAUAUGUUUUUUCAUAAUCUACUUUGACAUAAACACAACUUUCCUUCUUUCUCCUUAUAUCCUCAAUCGACUCAUUAGCCACCAACACACUAUCGAAAAGGCCCCCUUCUAAUUGAUUAUGUAUAUAAGUUUUAUAAGAUAAUUGAUUAUAUUAAAUAUUUGAUACAAAUAAAAUAAAAUAAAUUAUUAUUAAUAAUAUUACUAUUUAAUAAAUUUAUUUAAUUUAUAUUUAUUAUUAUUAUUUAAAAAAUUUAUUUUAAUUAAUAUUAUUCUUUAUAAUUUUAUUAUUAUUUCAUAAAUUAAUUUUUAAAAUAUUAUUAUUUUAAUGUUUAAAUAUUUAUAUUAUUAUUAUUUAAUUUUAAAAUAAAAUAUAUUAAUUAAUUUUUUUAAAUAAGAAUAAAUUUGUAAUCUUAAUAUUUUAUUAAUUAAAAUUUUAACCAGACUCAUCAUAUCACUUACAAACUUAUUAUAUUUAUGAAAAUUUUCCAUUUUCCAAGAAUGAUAAGAAACUCAUAUUUUUUUUAAAAAAAUUAUUCAACGGUAUUGGAAAUAAUUUACAAAAUUUUAAUUAUCUCAAAUCUACACAAAAACACUUCAUAUUUCAUUAUUCAAAUAUUUUUAAAGACAAAGAUAAAUUUGUAAACUUACACUUUACACUUUUAAAAAAAGAAUAUCAAAAUUUACUCAUAAUCAUCUCAUCAAUCACAAACUUCGAUAAACUUUCCUCUUAUAUUCACUCUAACAUAUCUUAAUACAAACAUACUCACUUUCUUCACAUUUUUCUUUCAAAUUUUCACAUAUUCACUCCCUCAAAUCCCUACACAUCCCCUCCCCAAUCCAAACACACAUUUAGCCUUUGCUCGAAACAAAGAUGAAGAUUGUCAUGAAUUAAAAGGAGAUUCAUUCCUAAUUACCUUUUGUAUAAAAUAAUUCAAUUAAAAAAUGACCGAAUUAAUGAACAUAAAUAAAUCAAUAAAUAAAAAAAUAUCAAAUUAAAACAUAUCUACCACACCAACAUUUAUUCACUUUGAAACAUUAGUGUAGAUAAAUAAAUUAAUAUAUAACCAAACAAAUGAAAAGUUAAAUAAGAAUAAAGAUAUCAAAUGUCUCUUUGUUUUUCCUUUUUGAGAAACAUAUGACACCUUUUCUAUUUAUUUUCCUUCACAAAAACUUUUUUAACUAACACCUAAAUAAUUGAAUCCUCACUUUACAAAGAUCAUCCAAUACCUUCAUUUUUUUUUUCCUUUUUAACAACAAAAACUAAACAAAUUAAAAGAAGAAAUAAUCAAAGAGGAGAAAAUGUAAAAAAUUACCCAAGUCCAAUUGAUGACCUGCUCAAACCAAUAUUCUUCAGAAUAUGCAUCAAAUGAAUCUCUGUUCCUACUGAUAUUAUGUAAACAUCAAGUUCUUCUAAAAACAAGAAAUGAAGAUGAAGAGAUUUUCGAAUACAUGCUGCCACCAAAAUGCUUCUUCCCCUCCAAAUUGCGUUGAAACCAAACCAUUCAUAAAUACAUAUACCACCAUAUCAUGAAACUUGAAACAUGAAACAUGGAACUUGAAACACGUUAAACAUGGUGUUGAAACUUCAAACAUGGAAUGUCACAGUUGUUGUUGGUGUAGCGUAAACGUGUUGCUGGAUUAUGGUGAAGGUGAGAGAUGGUGUUGGGGUCACACACACACAAAAAUAUAUAUAUAUAUGAUAAAGUUCUUUGGAGUUUGUAUUUGGCAUCU
RNAcentral lists this long non-coding RNA (4116 nucleotides) under Phaseolus vulgaris (common bean). RNAcentral's name for it is "long non-coding RNA (PVUL_LNC000558)". Lineage: Eukaryota; Viridiplantae; Streptophyta; Magnoliopsida; Fabales; Fabaceae. The record is from RNAcentral.